This 446-nucleotide ribosomal RNA is filed under the name uncultured bacterium. RNAcentral describes it as "bacterial SSU rRNA". It matches the Rfam family "Bacterial small subunit ribosomal RNA", at positions 91 to 518 of the family's 1533-position model. The record is from RNAcentral.
UAGAGCGGCGGACGGGUGAGUAACACGUAGGACAAUCUGCCCCCCGGCCCGGGAUAGCCCAGGGAAACCUGGAUUAAUACCGGAUGAGACGGGACCCGCGAAGGCGGGACCCGGAAAGGCGCUGCGGCGCCGUCCGGGGGAAUGAGUCUGCGUCCCAUUAGCUAGACGGCGGGGUAACGGCCCACCGUGGCGACGAUGGGUAGCCGGCCUUGUAGAGGGUGGACGGCCACAUUGGAACUGAGACACGGUCCAGACUCCUACGGGAGGCAGCAGCUAAGAAUCUUCCGCAAUGGGCGAAAGCCUGACGGAAGCGACGCCGCGUGAACGAAGAAGGCCGUGAGGUUGUAAAGUUCUUUUCGGGAGGGGGAACAACCGUGGCAGGGAAUGGCCGCGGGAUGACGUGAAUCCCGGAAUUAAGCCCCGGCUAACUACGUGCCAGCCGCCGC